CCGAAAGGGUGACGAAGCGACGCCGCGUGGGUGAGGAAGGCCUUCGGGUUGUAAAGCCCUGUCAGGAGUUAAGAAAUGUAGGUACGCUAAUAUCGUAUCUAUUUGACAAAGGCUCCAAAGGAAGCCACGGCUAACUCUGUGCCAGCAGCCGCGAUAAUACAGAGGUGGCAAGCGUUGUUCGGAAUUAUUGGGCGUAAAGAGCACGUAGGUGGAUUUGUAAGUCAGAUGUGAAAGCCUUCUGUUCAACGGGAGAAUUGCAUCUGAAACUACAGACCUUGAGUAUAGGAGGGGAGAAUGGAACUUCUGGUGGAGCGGUGAAAUGCGUAGAUAUCAGAAGGAACGCCGGCGGCGAAAGCGAUUCUCUGGCCUAUUACUGACACUCAGUGUGCGAA
Molecule: ribosomal RNA, 392 nt
Filed under: uncultured Planctomycetales bacterium
Lineage: Bacteria; Pseudomonadati; Planctomycetota; Planctomycetia; Planctomycetales
Description: bacterial SSU rRNA
Rfam family: Bacterial small subunit ribosomal RNA
Source: RNAcentral